GGGCCCGCACAAGCGGUGGAGCAUGUGGUUUAAUUCGACGCAACGCGAAGAACCUUACCCAGACUCGACAUGCAUCGGACAGGUGUGGAAACACACUCUCCCUUCGGGGCCGGUGCACAGGUGCUGCAUGGCUGUCGUCAGCUCGUGUCGUGAGAUGUUGGGUUAAGUCCCGCAACGAGCGCAACCCUUGUCCUUAGUUGCUAACGGGUAAUGCUGAGCACUCUAAGGAGACUGCCGGUGAUAAACCGGAGGAAGGUGGGGAUGACGUCAAGUCCUCAUGGCCCUUACGUCUGGGGCUACACACGUGCUACAAUGGCCGGUACAGAGGGUUCCGAUACCGCGAGGUGGAGGCAAUCCCAAAAAACCGGUCUCAGUUCGGAUUGCAGUCUGCAACUCGACUGCAUGAAGUCGGAAUCGCUAGUAAUCGCUGAUCAGCAGGCAGCGGUGAAUACGUUCCCGGGCCUU
This 465-nucleotide ribosomal RNA is filed under the name uncultured bacterium. RNAcentral describes it as "bacterial SSU rRNA". It matches the Rfam family "Bacterial small subunit ribosomal RNA", at positions 917 to 1382 of the family's 1533-position model. The record is from RNAcentral.